CCUACGGGUGGCAGCAGUGAGGAAUAUUGGUCAAUGGCCGUAAGGCUGAACCAGCCAAGUCGCGUGAAGGAAGAAGGACCUAUGGGUUGUAAACUUCUGUUAUAGGGGAAUAAAGGUAUCCACGUGUGGAUCUUUGCAUGUACCCUAUGAAUAAGCAUCGGCUAACUCCGUGCCAACAGCCGCGGUAAUACGGAGGAUGCGAGCGUUAUCCGGAUUUCUUGGGUUUAAAGGGUGCGUAGGUUGUUUUUUAAGUCAGCGGUGAAAGUUUGUGGCACAACCAUAAAAGUGCCGUUGAAACUGGAAGACUUGAGUGUGUUUGAGGUAGGCGGAAUGCGUGGUGUAGCGGUGAAAUGCAUAGAUAUCACGCAGAACUCCGAUUGCGAAGGCAGCUUACUAAGCCAUAACUGACACUGAAGCACGAAAGCGUGGGGAUCAAACAGGAUUAGAUACCCGGGUAGUC
RNAcentral lists this ribosomal RNA (460 nucleotides) under uncultured bacterium. RNAcentral's name for it is "partial 16S ribosomal RNA". It matches the Rfam family "Bacterial small subunit ribosomal RNA", at positions 338 to 795 of the family's 1533-position model. The record is from RNAcentral.